Long non-coding RNA from Gordionus sp. m RMFG-2023, 165 nucleotides. RefSeq lists it as uncharacterized. NCBI's taxonomy places the organism in Eukaryota, Metazoa, Nematomorpha, Gordioida, Chordodea, Parachordodidae. The transcript is spliced from 3 exons. The record is from RefSeq and is a predicted model, not a curated record.
AAUGCACUUAAUAUAUGCUUUCAAUCAAUUUUUAAUUAUAAUUUAGAUGAUCAGUCAUUGUUCCUCUAUCUAAAUAUAAUUGAGACCAUUAUAUCAAAAAAUUUUUCUGAUUUGGAUUCUGCAAAAAAAGAAUCUAUUAGAAAGUUUAUUUAUGAUUGGAUGCAG